RNAcentral lists this ribosomal RNA (228 nucleotides) under uncultured bacterium. RNAcentral's name for it is "partial 16S ribosomal RNA". It matches the Rfam family "Bacterial small subunit ribosomal RNA", at positions 103 to 334 of the family's 1533-position model. The record is from RNAcentral.
CGGGUGAGUAAUGUAUGGGGAUCUGCCUGAUGGGGGGGGAUAACUACUGGAAACGGUAGCUAAUACCGCAUAAUGUCUACGGACCAAAGCGGGGGACCUCCGGGCCUCGCGCCAUCAGAUGAACCCAUAUGGGAUUAGCUAGUAGGUGAGGUAACGGCUUACCUAGGCGACGAUCCCUAGCUGGUCUGAGAGGAUGAUCAGCCACACUGGGACUGAGACACGGCCCAG